GCGCCUGUUGUAUAAUGGUAUUACCUUAGCCUUCCAAGCUAAAGACGUCGGUUCGAUUCCGAUCAGGCGCU
Molecule: transfer RNA, 71 nt
Filed under: Olavius algarvensis spirochete endosymbiont
Lineage: Bacteria; Pseudomonadati; Spirochaetota; Spirochaetia; Spirochaetales
Rfam family: tRNA
About the family: Transfer RNA (tRNA) molecules are approximately 80 nucleotides in length.
Source: Rfam by way of RNAcentral